UAAAGCAUGUACAAGUUGAACUGAGGAAAAUCCAUAUCCCGCUCUGCCUACACUAAUAUCUUGAAUGUUAAUGCCAUUUGAUUUUUUACCUGAUAAGCAAUGAACUAUCCUUAGGUAGUGUUUUUAUGCCUAGAUGUAAUCCUGGGGUCUCUGAUGUCAAUAAGAUCUCAUUUGCAUUUUAAAUGCAACUACAGCUAACCCACCAGGCUGAAGCCAAUAAGCAGUUGUUCAGAAGAAAGAAUACCUUUCAGAUGCUGCCGGACCUGUUGAGCUUUUCCAGCAACUUCUGUUUUUGUUCCUGCAUUUGUCCUGCUUUGUGUGGAUAAUUGGAUAAUGUUGUAGCACAGCUCGAACGACUUGGCUAGGGGUACAGCCAAUCAGAUGCUGCCAGACCUACUGAGUUUUUUCUAGCAGCUUGUUUUAGUUCUUUGAGGAAACUGAGUCAACAUGCACACAGAUGAUAGCUUCUGAUAGCUGCUGGCUUUGCUGUUGCACCUGCUGAAGUUGUUCUAUACAUUUGCUGGAAGCGAGAGUUGAAAUAUGUGACAGCUCCAGUUGUACUUCGUACUUGUCCUCAUCAUCCACAAUAAUGCAGAACAAGGGAUUAUCCACUGAAAGAGACAUUGAAAACCUAUGACCUUGUCUAUGCACUGAGACAGUUGUGUGUCAUGUAAAUAUGAUUUCCUUCUUUCUUCUCCAUUGACUUGUUUAGGUGGCAUAAUUGUAAAACCAACUUUUCAAUUUUGGUAAAGGGUUUUGUAGAGCAAUACAAAAACACCAGGAAAUUCUAAAGUUGAGUAAGUAAUGUCAUGACUCACUAACACCACCAUUACUUUCAAUUUCUGCAUCAGAAAUGAACCAACAACUCUGGUAUGCCAUGCAAAUGUGUUCCAGUGCAUCCUGGUCAAUUAAUUCCCAGAAAAUGUCAGCUUUUCCCACAUAUUCUGUGACUUCCUUGUGCAUAGAUAGGCCAUCAAUCUUCUGAAUGAUGUUUUGGUUAAUGUACAUUAUAUUGGCCUAGAAGUAAAACAAUUUGAGAAAAGCUUCAAGUUUCAAGCACUAGCUGAGGAAACCCAGCUCACAAAUUUGCAUCUAAUGUUUAUUUGGCUUGAACUUAUACAUGGGGACAAACUGCAAUAUUGUUUCAAAGUUGCUGUAUUGCACAGCUUUGCAUGAUAAUCCAGCAUCUCUGCACACUGGAUGGAAAAACUAUUACUGUAGUUGGGUUAACUUCAUUUGUACAGGAAAUGUUACCAGUAGUUCCUCGGACAAAUGGAUAGUGUCAGAUAUGAUUCUAUUUGUAACAACAGGCAUAUUCUGUAAUGCGCAGAGCAUCAAAAGCCACUCAGUUUGUCAGGGGUGGGUGCAAUAUGAAGUAAAUAAAACAGAUUGACUCACCAAGUUGUGAUUUUACCGACCUUGUUCCUUUACACUAUGUGCUCCCUUUUACAGCUCAUCAAAUUCACGAAAAUACAUAAUUAACAUGCAAGGUAAAAGACACCAGCAAACAUUCAAAAUUUACCUGUCAAAUUACUCUUAUAAUAUAAAAUCGCAGUAACCUUUAUAAAAUAUUCAUUCUUCAACUUAU
This is a long non-coding RNA of Stegostoma tigrinum, 1588 nucleotides long. RefSeq lists it as uncharacterized. NCBI's taxonomy places the organism in Eukaryota, Metazoa, Chordata, Chondrichthyes, Orectolobiformes, Stegostomatidae. The record is from RefSeq and is a predicted model, not a curated record. The transcript has 3 exons.